GCCUUUGGCUUCCAGCACCCAGCUGGGUCACCUUGGGCAAGAGCGUGGUUACCACUGGUACAUAUAUGGGCCAUGAAAGAAGCCAGCUCUAGAAGGCGAGCCAGGCCAACAAGGAACCAUCUUCUGGAUAAUCUCGUUUGCCUUCAUUUACUGCAAGUUAACUGUUCUCCUAACAUAAUCCCCAUAGCUGCUCUAAUGGACCUCAAGAGAGCUCAAGUUGUUCUUAGGCCACAGGAUGGAUAACAAUGAUCAGAACUUCUCCCUGAGAACUUUAAUUUUCAAGAUAAAGUGUACAUACAGGUAUAUAAUUGGAGAGGAAUCAACACGCAUGUGCAUGUGAAUUAUUUCUGCAAGCAGCCUACAGCAAAUUACAUGAACCAUACAUUGGUCACCUUUAAAAAUAAGAUUGUUUCUUAGCUUUGUCAGUCUUUUUGCAUCACCGCUUAUGCAUUGAGAACUUGGCCCAAGUGAAAAACAGAGUGGCUAACUAUGAGACAGAUGAUUAUAGGCAAACUCAUGGGUAUCUGUUGUUUUUAUUCUACUUCAAGGCCAACUGAGUUCUCUGUAAAAAUCAACAGUGUGCACAAAGCAAUGAAUAUACCUAACACACCUUCAAACA
Molecule: long non-coding RNA, 619 nt
Filed under: Numida meleagris (helmeted guineafowl)
Lineage: Eukaryota; Metazoa; Chordata; Aves; Galliformes; Numididae
Description: lncRNA (ENSNMEG00000022057.1)
Source: RNAcentral